GCCCAGAUGGUGAAAUUGGUAAACACAACAGACUCAAAAUCUGUCGGUAGCAAUACCUUGCGGGUUCGAGUCCCGCUCCGGGCACCA
RNAcentral lists this transfer RNA (87 nucleotides) under Fusobacterium sp. FSA-380-WT-3A. Its description in RNAcentral is "tRNA-Leu". It matches the Rfam family "tRNA". From Rfam's summary of the family: Transfer RNA (tRNA) molecules are approximately 80 nucleotides in length. Their secondary structure includes four short double-helical elements and three loops (D, anti-codon, and T loops). Further hydrogen bonds mediate the characteristic L-shaped molecular structure. tRNAs have two regions of fundamental functional importance: the anti-codon, which is responsible for specific mRNA codon recognition, and the 3' end, to which the tRNAs corresponding amino acid is attached (by aminoacyl-tRNA synthetases). tRNAs cope with the degeneracy of the genetic code in two manners: having more than one tRNA (with a specific anti-codon) for a particular amino acid; and 'wobble' base-pairing, i.e. permitting non-standard base-pairing at the 3rd anti-codon position. Lineage: Bacteria; Fusobacteriati; Fusobacteriota; Fusobacteriia; Fusobacteriales; Fusobacteriaceae. The record is from RNAcentral.